CCUACGGGAGGCAGCAGUAGGGAAUUUUCCGCAAUGGGCGAAAGCCUGACGGAGCAAUACCGCGUGAGGGAUGACGGCCUGUGGGUUGUAAACCUCUUUUCUCAAGGAAGAAGUUCUGACGGUACUUGAGGAAUAAGCAUCGGCUAACUCUGUGCCAGCAGCCGCGGUAAUACAGAGGAUGCAAGCGUUAUCCGGAAUCACUGGGCAUAAAGCGUCUGUAGGUUGUUUAGUAAGUCUGCUGUUAAAGACUGGGGCUUAACCCCAGAAAAGCAGUGGAAACUGCUAGACUCGAGUGUGGUAGAGGUAGAGGGAAUUCCUAGUGUAGCGGUGAAAUGCGUAGAUAUUAGGAAGAACACCAAUGGCGAAGGCACUCUACUGGGCCAUAACUGACACUGAGAGACGACAGCUAGGGGAGCAAACGGGAUUAGAUACCCCGGUAGUCCUAGCCGUAAACGAUGGAUACUAGAUGUUGCACGUAUUAACCCGUGCAGUAUCGUAGCUAAGGCGUUAAGUAUCCCGCCUGGGAAAGUACGCGUCGCGAGAGAGAACGUACGUAAUAGUAAGUUAGUUACGUCGUUGAGACGUUGCCGACGGACGACGACGAGGGAGGAGG
This 613-nucleotide ribosomal RNA is filed under the name uncultured bacterium. RNAcentral describes it as "bacterial SSU rRNA". The stretch from base 1 to 521 matches the Rfam family "Bacterial small subunit ribosomal RNA", at positions 338 to 873 of the family's 1533-position model. The record is from RNAcentral.